UAAUACGAAGGGAGCUAGCGUUACUCGGAAUUAUUGGGUGUAAAGCGUGCGUAGGCGGUCUUGUAAGUUAGGAGUGAAAGCCCAGGGCUCAACCUUGGAAUUGCUUCUAAUACUGCAUGACUAGAGUAUCAGAGGGGAUGGCGGAAUUCCUAGUGUAGAAGUGAAAUUCGUAGAUAUUAGGAGGAACACCGGAGGCGAAGGCGGCCAUCUGGCUGAAUACUGACGCUGUUGCACGAAAGCGUGGGGAGCAAACAGG
This 256-nucleotide ribosomal RNA is filed under the name uncultured bacterium. RNAcentral's name for it is "partial 16S ribosomal RNA". It matches the Rfam family "Bacterial small subunit ribosomal RNA", at positions 521 to 776 of the family's 1533-position model. The record is from RNAcentral.